AAUCGCACAGAACAACCCCUCUGAGCCAGAGAAAAAAGCUGGAAUCCGUUUGUCCUGAUAUUUCACCAGCACCAGCCAGGAGCGAGGGGAGAGGGAAAGACAGAGGGAGAGAGAAAGGGAGAGAGAGAGAGAGAGGGAGAGAGAGGGGAAAGAGACUGGGGCAGAGAAAAAGGGAUAGAUGGGAAAACGGCAGACCAGGGCUGUAUUUAUUGGGGGUGUGAGUGCCGCGCUGUAGGCUGUGGGAUGGUCGGGAGAGUGCAAGGUGUUGCUGCUAGGUGUGGUUGGGUUUACAGAUGGGGAAGAGCAUGCAUAGAUAGAAUGGUGGAGGCUAAAAAAAAAAAAAAAAAGAGGGAGAGAUGGAAGGAUUGGUCAUGCGCAAGACCGCAGGCCGUUGGAGGCAGCUUAGAAAUCUCUUACAUCUGGAACAGCCAUAAUUCGUGGGAUUUGGCCUGACAGCCAUGACAGGCAUUGGGGCGGCCAGCAACAACUGUCUCCUGUGUUAGCAGCAGUGUGUGUGUUAGCCCCGUGUGUGUGAGACAGACUGAGAAAGACGAAGAGCGAGAGACAAAGAGUGACAAUAUAAAGCAUGUGUGUGUAUACAUGCAACUUUUCUUUAUUUCUACAGGGAGCUUCGGGAAGAUUAGACUCACCUGUACAGCUUCUGCACAACUUUGUUUUUGUGAGUUUGGACACUUUUUAGGGCCUCUGUAUACCUUUAUCAUAUCCAUUCACCGCACAGUGGUGGGAAGUAACUGAAAACAUUUACUAAAUGCUGUGCUUUAAAAGUUUUACCUUAAAUUUGACUAUAUACUUCUACUCCGAUGUGCUUUCUAUUUACAUAUAUCUGACACUGCUCACUGCGCUGCCGAUUCAUACUUUAAAAUAAUAUCGAUAAAUUACAAGUGAGUUUUCAAAUUUUUUUGUUAAAUAUUAAAAUAUUUCACAAUAUAUUAAAUAAGUAGAAUUAGUCUUAUUUCGAUUGGACACAUACAAAUGUAGUGUAUCUAAAAUCUUGAUUUAAAAACAUUUACACAGAAAACAAUAUUGUACACUAAAAUGGGCAUAUUUGCAUAAUUACUGCUUAUUUGUGAUAUUUUUCGUAGAUUUCACAACACAUUAUUCAUCUCUAAGCCACAUGUCGAAUUGGCUUUCACUUAUCUACAAAUAUUUCUUAUAUUAACAAGCGCUUCUUUUACUUGAGUUAAAGUUACAGAUGUUUCUUCGAGCAAUAUUAUGAAUUUGACAGAAAUAAUAAUAAUGCAUCAAUCAUUUUUUAAAAACAACAAAUACUGAUGAUCAUUUCGAGAAAAGAAAAACAUUUUUGAAAUCAUUUUUAAGAUCACCUCGGAUACUGUACAUAUACACCUCGUUCUGUGUUGCUACACUUUUCUACAUACGUAUGCAUGCACACGCAUUCAGGAGAUAUAAACUGACUCGCAGCAGAAAAAGCAGUGCCGUCCAUGUGUUUCAUGGCGUGCCAGAGGCUCCCUGUGUCGGCCCUAAAUAUUACACACAGACAGUAGCUAUCACUUCCAAGCCUGAAAUCCCACAUUCCACAUUCCUGAUUCCAACGGCUCGCCUGCUAAGCUGGGCACCACAUGAAGAGCCAUUGUUAGAGAGAGAGAGGGGUCAUGUAUCUCUCUCGCUCUCUGUCUGUCUGUCUGUCUGUCUGUAGCUCUCUCGGCCUUCCUUCCCUCUCUCGCUUUGUCUCUCCGCCCAUAUAUCUCUCACUGUCACAGUCUCCAUCUGUGACUCUCUUGCUCCGUCUAUCUUUCUAUUUCUCCCUCUGCCGGUUUAUCUUUAUCUCUCUUACUUAUUCCUUUUCUCCUCCGCUGUGCUUCGUCGCCCACUCUCCCACUCACUUUCUCCACCGUCUUGCAUGUGUUUGUUUAUUCCUUUUCUAUACCUUGCUCAGCCUCGUGUCUCCCACUGAUGCUACUUGUCUGUGGCUCUCGUUCUCUUUACAAGACUCUUACUUUGCUUUCCGCUUCUUUUUUUUCUUUGUCUUCCUCCCCUCUGUACCCUGUUGUCUGUCUCUCCAUCUCCCUCUCCCUCUGUGUCUCCAGAUAUUCAUGUAGAGAUUUUCUCACAUGUUAGAUAUAGAUUUAUGACCCCAGCCAGAUCCCCGUGGCCACUAAAUUUGAUACCAUCCACUAAGCCACAUUGUUUUUUUGUGUGUUUGGGCUUGUCUGUUGUGUGUGACUGUGGGUAAGUAUGUAUGUGCGCGCGUGUGUGUGUGUGUGUGUGUGUGUGUGUGUGUGUGUGUGUGUGUGUGUGUGUGCGUGCGCGUGUGUGUGUUCAUGCAUUACAAGGUGGAGGCGGGUGACUUUUAAAGGGUUAGCUUGGGUACGGUGGGCGCAGAGGAGGAAUUUACAGUUUAUUGAAGCACAGCAGUCAGGUGUGUGUGUGUGUGUGUGUGUGUGUGUGUGUGUGUGUGUGUGUGUGUGUGUGUGUGUGUGUGUGUGUGUGUGUGUGUGUGUGUGUGUGUGAGAGAGAGAGAGAGAGAGCGCCUGUGGGUGCCAGGUGACCAGGCUAACCUCUUGGCUGGUGUUUUGGAUUUAGCCUUUGGAUAGCGUAGAAAAAUAAAAAUGGAAUGCUUUUUCAAUUACAGAUCAGAAAGAGAGUGAACAAAGGCAGGAGAAAAGGAAAAGAUGAGUUAUUGGGAUCUAAUAUAUCAAGGCUUUGCACUCCUAAAAUCUGAGUGCAUUAAUUUUAGCUUUUGGAACAUUUUGUACUUGAACAGUUCAGCAGAGUCACAUAAUUUUGCGCAGGUUUUUAAAAAUGAUUUCUGUUGCAAAAGUUGUUGUAUUUUAGGAAACUAUGUAUGUGUCGUAAUUUUUUUUUUUUUUGCAUAAAGCUUACAAGGUGUUCUUUGCGGCAGUUUUUUCGCCCUCCUUGCACGUCGUCUAAUAAUCUAAGAUUCUCAUGCAUUUGACAUCACACUCCUGAGCUGUAUUAUAUUUGCGCUCCGAAGCAUGCACACAUAAGUGCAAAAAUAGAACAUGGGUAGAAUCGAAUAUGAAGACACACAGACGCACACCUGUGGAAGACAGUCGCUGCUACUUUGUUUUUGAUGCAUGUUAUUAAUUCUGACAGUAGUCUGUUUAAAGGUACUCGUCCUCUGCCAUGCAUAUUUUAUUGGCUGUAGGUGGUAUUUGUUGUGUAUUUAUGUCUGUUUGUUUGAAUACUGCAUUCCUUCAACCUAUUCCACAAGUUGUCAAGGGUGGGGUAUUUUAAAAUGGCAUUGUAGAGGAUUGUAAUAUUGAUGUUUGUUUGUGUGAUGUGAAAUGAUAUUCGCCUUUUGAUGUUUGGCUAGGAGGAGAUACACAAAAUAAAAGCCCUGCAAAAUAAAGGUGUGUUUCUGCACAUGUUUGAGUGUGUUCCCUCAAAUUGUUUAUCUGUCAGUCAGUCAGACAGAGUGUGCGCACAUUGUCUGCGCUAGUGCGCGCGCUGCCGUGCAUGUGUGAAUGCGUGCGUGUGUCCAAGUCUACAUCUGAAAGCCAUAUCUGGCUUCAGAUCAAAUGGUGUAUGAAGGAGAGGGAAUGACAGAGAGAGAAAGUGAUAGCUCUUUAAUGUUACCUAUCCACUCUCAAACCCAAAUAUAAGACCAGGAACACACGGAAUAGGCAAGUGUGUUUUAGAGGAAAAGGAGUGACAUGAAACACUUAUGUAGAAAAGCUCUGAACAUGACGUCGGCUUUGUAGCGGGGGGGGUGGGGGGUGGGGGGGGAUGUCUCACGAAACAGAAAGAAAGUGAGUAAAUUGGAUGGAAGGAAGAGAGAAGGCUGGGGCACGGAAUAAAACCGCAACACGCACUUUAUUGUUUGUUUGUGCACGUCAAGGUACAGUGAUAUUUAGUUUUUGACUGAAUACUAACUAUUGUGUCUCAGUUUGUCUUGUUCUGUUCUGAGGUGUCUAAACUUUUGCUGCUGGUGUCUGACGAAGAUGCUUUCAUGACAGCUGCAUUCACGUCCAAAUGACUGAGUUGAUUCAUCAUUUUUAUCUCUGAAAUUAUUAUACUGCUGCUUCUCAAUGAUCACCUUAAUAUGGGAAUCAUUUUGUGCAAAUAUGUUACAAUGUUUUAACAGUCAAGUAAUCUUCGCCCCUGCAGUGACAUAUGUUUUGCCUCUCUCCUCACCUUUGUCCUCCCUGUUUCCUACUUUUUUUGUGAGCAGAAAAGGAUUAAAAAUAUUUACUGUCUACAUUCCUCCUACAAAUCCUUUUUUGAUUCCUGACUUUCCCUCUUUCCUUUCUUUCCCGCUCGUUUUACUCCUAAUUCUGAAGUGCUGUGCUGUGACACAGAUAAGUGCAGAUAUGUGAAUAAAGGUACCUCUGUCUUCCCUUCA
Long non-coding RNA from Acanthochromis polyacanthus (spiny chromis), 4345 nucleotides. RefSeq lists it as uncharacterized. The transcript is spliced from 2 exons. NCBI's taxonomy places the organism in Eukaryota, Metazoa, Chordata, Actinopteri, Pomacentridae. The record is from RefSeq and is a predicted model, not a curated record.